RNAcentral lists this long non-coding RNA (3415 nucleotides) under Homo sapiens (human). Its description in RNAcentral is "HSALNT0209895". Lineage: Eukaryota; Metazoa; Chordata; Mammalia; Primates; Hominidae. The record is from RNAcentral.
CCUACCUCUUCCAAAGUUGACUGGCAAAAAGGACAGUGUAAAACUUCACUUAACGUAAUUCUCCUUUUCAAGUUAACGGAGCAACCAGGCCAGAGAAUAACUCUGACUUUUGACUGUGACUGUUUCUAGUAUCCCAGUGAAGUCAGCUGCUUUUAAGGAAAAAAUUCCCCAGGAGUGUCCCCAAGAAAUAUAGAGGAAAGGAAGAAAGUCUUGGAGGAAUUUAGUGCUGAUUUGGAGAUAAGACAUUUUGAUACUUGGGGAAUUUAGCUGCAUUAAGCUUUCACAAACCUGGAGGAGGGUGUGCAACUGAUCAUCUGUUUGCUGAGGUCCUACUGCUCAUCCCCUGAUACAUGGCUUUGGAGCCCUACUCAUCAUUUCUGAUCUGAAAGCAACUAAAGCAUCCGUCCUCUUCUCUGAUGGCCACUCUCAAAAUGGUUAUGACUGGUACAUCUUCUUUACCCUUUAUCGCUGCCUGUUGCCUUCAGCAUCUCAUUUUCCCUUUAGCUUCUGUUUAGACUUUCUUUCCUUUAAGGAAAUCUAUUUUUUUCCAACCAAUCUCUCUCCUCCUGUUUUUUUUCUUUUUAUUUUACCAGUGUUCCUGUUAUGAUAGCAAGACUAAAGCCCAGUUUUACAUCAGUCCAGUUCCUCUUUGGUUUCUUAGCUGAUAUGACUCCAAAGCAACAGAGCUUUUGAGGUCCAAGAACUACCAUUUUUAAUUGCAUUUUUGGGCUUUUGAAUUUUUUAUUCACCCUCAACAGGUGAUAUAUUCUUUUUCAAAUAUUCAUUCCUUAUUUAUCAAUAUAAUCUACCCAGGGUUAAAUGAAAUAUUGGUUUCUGAAGUGCAAAGCCAGAAAAAAAACCUAUGCAAUGAACAAACUCAGAGUUAAUAUGAGACUACUUGGUGUCCAGUAACACUUAAGAGCCUGUAUUUAAGCGAAAUGAAUCUAAGAUGCUAGCAUACCUCAGCCGGCCCAGGACAAAAUUAAAGCGUAAGUAGGAAUAAAAUUUGGGACAUUACAAUGUGUCCUACUAAGGUCUAGUACAGACAAUCAAAAUUAUUUUUUGUUGUGGUAAAGUAGGCAUAACACAAAAUUUAUAAUUUUAACCCUCUUUAAAUUGCACAUAUUAGCACAUAUUAGUGGCAUUAAGUGUAUUCACCUUGUUGUGCAUCCCUCACAACGGUCCAUCCAGAACUGUUUCCUUAUCCCAAACUGAAACUCUGUAUCCAUUAAACAGUAACUUCUCCUUCCCCCAGCCCCCCAGCCCCUAGUAACCACUAUUCUUUUUUCUGUCUCAAUGAAUUUGACUAUUUUAAGUACCUCAUAUAAGUAGAAUCAUAAUAUUUGUCCUAUUUUCUGUCUGGCUUAUUUCACAUAGCAUAUCUUUAGGUUUCAUCUGUAUUGUAUCAUGUAGCAGAAUUCUAUCCUUUAUAAGGCUGAAUAAUAUCAUAUUGUAUGUAUAUACCAUUGUUGUAUAUACAGAUGUUGUAUGUGUAGAACAUUUGGUUUAUUCAUUCAUCCAUCCAUGGACAUUUUGGUUAUUUCACAUUUUGGCUAUUGUGAAUAAUGCUUCUAUGAACAUUGGUGUAUAAAUAUCUGUUUGAGUCCCUUUGGAGGGACUCAUUCUCAGUUAAAUAUUCUUUGGACUAUAUAAAAAAAGUAAAUUGGCAGAUCAUGUGGUAAUUAUAUAUUUAUUUUUUUGAGGAACCUCCCCACCGUGCUGUUUUUCACAAUUUUACAUUCCCACCAGCCAUGUACGAGGGUUUCAAUUUCUCCGCAUUUUGCCAACUCUUGUUAUGUAAUAUGUGAAGUGGUGUCUCAUUGAGGUUUUGAUUUGCAUUUCCUAAUGAUUAGUGAUGCUGAGCAUCUUUUCAUGUGCUUAUUGGCCAUUCGUAUAUCUUGUUUGGAGAAAUGUUUAUUCAAGUGCUUUGUUUGUCUUUAAAUUAGUUUUUGUUGUUGUUUUGUUGAGUUGUAGGAUUUCUUUGCAUAUUCUGGAUAUUUAUCCUUCAUCAAAUAUAUGACUUGGAAAUAUUCUCUCCCAUUCUGUGGGUUGCCUUUCUACUCGGUUGAUCGUGUCCUUUGCACAAAUGUUUUUAACCUUGAUAAAGUGUAAUUCAUCUAUUUUUUUCUUUUGUUGUCUGUGCUUUUGGUGUGAUGUCCAGGAGAUCAUUACCAAAUCCAGUGUUAUUAAGCUUUCUCCCUAUAUUUUCUUAGCAAUAAAAAUAUGAACUAAUAUCUCGUAAAUGCUCUGUAGUAUGUGCCACUCAAGGAUCUUAGGGCUGGGUCCACUGCAGUCACAAAAAUAUACUUCAGGCCAGAGAGGAUGGAGUCAAGGAGGAGGGAGUAGAGGCCCUGUCAGGAAAGCAAGAAUUUUCCAGAAAUUUCCAGUAGGCUUUUGCUUCAAUCUGUUGGCCAGAAUGGGUAAUGUUGCUUCUCUUGACUACAAGAGAGGGUAUCUGGGAAAUAUAUAAGGGUUUUAUCAUUGUUCAUUUUUGAGCUGAGUACACCACCAUCUAGAGUCUGUAGGUGAGGGUGAAGAAGAGAAUUACGUAACAGUAGGUGGGCACAUGGUGUCUGCAACAAGUUUCAACUUUCUGUUGGUGUAUCUGAAACUUCUUCAGUAGAAUCAUUGAAAAGUUUUGUGACAUAUAAACACAUUCUUCUCUGGAGUUUAGAGUUGACAUACCCUUUAUCCUAUUUUUAUAUUUAAGUUUGUUUCUGGGGAUGGGAGGUUGAGAGUGGGGAGAAGGGAGGAGUCAGUGAGACCUGGGGCAGAAUGGGUAUAUAUGCCCAUAUCAUGUUCUUUCUGGAGUUUAUCAAAUACACUGUUGGACUACAUCUCUGAAUAAUGAAUUUGUGUUCUUUUUUCUAAGAAGAAUGUAAAUAUUCCAUUCUUUCAAGUUUUACUAUUUGACUGAGUUACUGUUGUAACUGUUGGAGCUCUGCAGACCACCAAGCAACUUGCCUUUGCUGCACUCAAUGAUUUGAUACUGUUCACUGGACUCUAGUCCUCCCUGCAUGGGUCUGCCUGCUCUAAGCAGGGUGCACAUAGUCCGGCUAAGUGUAGAAAGCCUCUUUCCUACAAUGAAACCUCAGACCUUCCUUCCUGCCUGCCUGUCUUGGAAAUCCAUUCUAUUCCUUUUUAAUCUGGUUUGGACACUUAAACACCAAAUAUAGCUGCUGAUUGGGAAAGUGUUCUUGUCUGGCCCUACUUUUUUCUACAGAACUUCGGGACUUGAAUCUCAUUUCUGAAUCACAGAGCUUGUAUUUUCUUUAAGGUAUUUUUGAUAAGAUAUUGCAGGAAUUGUGACUUCUUACAUUUUAUCUUUGUAUAUUGAGUUGCAAAGGAGAUAAGUUAAACAGAAAAAUUCAUUUCAAAAACUAAACAAUGAAUGGAAAAAAAUAAAUGUAAUAAA